AGUAAUGAAGAAAAAUAGUUUAUAUUAUUGUUUGUCUCAUAGCAGUUGUUCGUUUGCAAUGCAGAGAAAACUUAUUUGAAAUGGAUUCUCAAGAUACAAAGUAUACAUGGCCCUAGCGCUCCUUUGCCUUUUCUCAAAUCCAUUGAGGUGUUUAUCUGUUAACAGAAGUGUUGGUCAUUGGAGAAUUCAGCAUUCCUGGCUAUUAUGAGGCAUUCUGGAAGGAGUUGGAUGGUGUCAAGCAAAUCUGGAAGAACAGAAAGCAAAUCUGGAAGAACAGAAAGGAACUUAAAUAGAUUAAUAAUCAUGUAUCGAUGAAUUACAUUCUUUCCUAGAAGUGUCAUAGCCAUUGUAAAUAAUUUAUGUAAACAUUUGUAAAUAAUUUAUGUAUCUCUCUACUAUUUUGGUGAAUGUAUUAUUUGAA
This is a long non-coding RNA of Asparagus officinalis (garden asparagus), 421 nucleotides long. RefSeq lists it as uncharacterized. The record is from RefSeq and is a predicted model, not a curated record. NCBI's taxonomy places the organism in Eukaryota, Viridiplantae, Streptophyta, Magnoliopsida, Asparagales, Asparagaceae. The transcript is spliced from 3 exons.